CACAACAAACAAGGCAAACAUUACAAAAAAAUAAGGAUCUUACCGUAGGCUACCAAAAUACAAGUGUGUGUAGUUCAAGGACCUCCAGGUAAAAGUUUCUUCCCCUUCCCAAAGUCUUUGACUGUGUUGUUUGCUAAAGUUUCUUGCUGUUUCCACUGGUAAAAACUAAUCGAACAAGGACACGACCGGAACUGCUCUCAAAUUUAGGAAGGGAGGGGUAGGAUUGAAUAAGCAGUGAUAAAACUAUAUGAUAAUACACGUUGCGCCACUCCGUGAAGAAGACGCAGCUACAGUAUGUCGGGCACACCCAUCCGGAGGCAGGUGAGAAGGCUCCAGAAAGGACUGCUUCUCCCAAACCUCUGAGGCAGCAGUGCUUCUCGGACAUCACGGCACUCGGCACACGUGUCCCAAGAACGGCCAAACCUCUGGGGCAUGUUGGGGGACGAGUUUGGGGCCCUUUCAUCACCAGGCAAAUUCUCCCUCCCGAAACGCAUGGGCAUGUUGGCGUGCAGGUGGAGAGGUUUGGCCGUGGGCGGGUGGAGCUUGAUGAUGAUCGGAAGGCUGAUUCUGCUGCUGGUCGGGCGUAAGCGCACUUUGUAGGUCUCCUGAUCCAAACUCCUGCGAAUGUCACUUUUUGUCUGGAAACCAAAAACAUGUUGAAGUCCGAAUCAGUCUGAUUAAAGGAUAUUUUCAUGAA
Eleginops maclovinus (Patagonian blennie) is the source of this 697-nucleotide long non-coding RNA. RefSeq lists it as uncharacterized. The transcript is spliced from 2 exons. NCBI's taxonomy places the organism in Eukaryota, Metazoa, Chordata, Actinopteri, Perciformes, Eleginopidae. The record is from RefSeq and is a predicted model, not a curated record.